RNAcentral lists this ribosomal RNA (486 nucleotides) under uncultured bacterium. RNAcentral's name for it is "partial 16S ribosomal RNA". It matches the Rfam family "Bacterial small subunit ribosomal RNA", at positions 28 to 523 of the family's 1533-position model. The record is from RNAcentral.
GAUGAACGCUGGCGGCGUGCUUAACACAUGCAAGUCGAACGGAAAGGCCCCAGCUUGCUGGGGUACUCGAGUGGCGAACGGGUGAGUAACACGUGGGUGAUCUGCCCUGCACUUUGGGAUAAGCUUGGGAAACUGGGUCUAAUACCGAAUAUGACCACUUCUCGGAUGUUGUGGUGGAAAGCUUUUGCGGUGUGGGAUGAGCCUGCGGCCUAUCAGCUUGUUGGUGGGGUAAUGGCCUACCAAGGCGGCGACGGGUAUCCGGCCUGAGAGGGUGUACGGACACAUUGGGACUGAGAUACGGCCCAGACUCCUACGGGAGGAAGCAGUGGGGAAUAUUGCACAAUGGGCGCAAGGCUGAUGCAGCGACGCCGCGUGGGGGAUGAAGGCCUUCGGGUUGUAAACUCCUUUCGCUAUCGACGAAGCCACUUGUGGUGACGGUAGGUAGAUAAGAAGCACCGGCUAACUACGUGCCAGCAGCCGCCGUAA